Hemicordylus capensis (graceful crag lizard) is the source of this 2246-nucleotide long non-coding RNA. RefSeq lists it as uncharacterized. The transcript is spliced from 4 exons. The record is from RefSeq and is a predicted model, not a curated record. NCBI's taxonomy places the organism in Eukaryota, Metazoa, Chordata, Lepidosauria, Squamata, Cordylidae.
UUUGCCAACUGGUGUGGGUGGGGGCCAUUUUGAACUCCCUGAUCAGCAGCUCCUUCUUCCUCCCUCCACAUUGGUGAAGCGGGGGAGGAAUGGGGUGGCAUCCACAGCAGCUCUUCCUCAACCAUUUGCCGAGGGAGAGGAGAGCCGCCAUGUCCCACCUAUUAUUAUUAUUAUUAUUACUACAUUUAUAUCCUGCUCUUCCUCCAAGGAGCCGUGUACUACAUACUUGAGUUUCUCCUCACAACAACCCUGUGAAGUAGGUUAGGCUGAGAGAGAAGUGACUGGCCCAGAGUCACCCAGCUAGUUUCAAAUGCAAAAUAAUAACAAUAAUGGCUGAAUGGGGAUUUGAACUCGGGUCUCCCUGGUCCUAGUCCAGCACUCUAACCACUACACCAACACCAGCACUCUAACCACUACACCAACACACACACACACACACACACACACACACACACACACACACACACACACCUCUCUCAGUGCUCUCAGGCUGAGGGCCUUCACAGACCUAGAGCCAGCCUUCGUUCAAUAGUGUAGACAAGCUUUCAGUCCUUCCAUUCUGGCAUGGGGGACGCUAUCCUCUUGAAGAGCAGAACCUCUGCAGUUCUGAACUGUCCCUUCUAGGGGGGGGAAGAUGGCCAUGACUCCUGCAAGGGAAGUAGUCUGCCUGGAGCAAAGCAGGGAGACUGGAGCGCCGCGGCGUAGCCCAACUCACCCACACGCUCCGAUUUUAGAGAGUCCCAGAUGUUGCAGUUAAAGUCGUCAUAUCCAGCCAGCAGGAGGCGCCCACUGCGAGAGAAUGCGAUUGAGAUACUGCAGUGUUUUCCCUGGAGACCCUGAGAAGGACAGUAAAACCCUGAGAGUUCAGACUAAAAGUGGAGAUCUGGCUAGUUGCUGACAAGGGGACAGCCUUUUUUGAAGACUGUGGAGUGAGAGAAUGAAGAUAAACUAUCACCUGAAUUACCUUUUUACUUUGAGUUACCAGGAUUGCAGUGGGGUUGAGUAUCCCUAAUCUGGACAUCCGGAAUACGGAAUGCUCCAAAAUCCAGAAACCACCACGGCUUUUUAAAUUUCCAAGGAGCUCUUCCAGGGAGAGAGGAGAAAAUACACCUGCUGGAAAGCAGGUGUAGGGAGAAGCCCAAGAUGGGAACGGGCUCAGUCCAGUGAGCUUCUCGCCCCCAGCAUUACCUCAAUCUGCUUCUUCAGCUGCUCAGCCUCCUGCUUCAUCUGCUCUAUUUCGCCCAUCUUGACAAACUAGCUUUGGGCCUCCCACUCAGGGUACCUGGGUCCUGGAUGGAGAGAGAGAGAAGUUGAGUGAUCCCACUUCUUUCAUGUCUUCAAUGCCCCUUAGAUCACGAAAGAGUCUGUUUAGCGCUGUUUAAUACUGGUGGCACCAAUGUGACAGAGAAAUAUGACAGAGUCUCUUACAGUUUGCUUACAGCAAGCCAUUCUGCAAAUCUUAGCUCAGGGCCAAAGCCAACCAGAGAACCUCGUCACUUACUUCACCUGCCACAGAUCAAACAGAGAAUGCUCACUAGGCAAAAUGGCGUGUGUCUCUUUGCCCAUCUGUCUGUCCGUCCUUUAAAUGCUCCUGUCCCUUUGUUGCCGCCACCACUUCUUAAAAUGCAUGUUGGAGGUGCAAGGUAGAAAAGUGAUGAUUGAGAUGAUACCUCAAAAACUGGCCCAACUGUAAAGAAGCAAGCUUCUGAGCAGCACUGAACUACUCAGCUACUGGACAAGAAUUGGGGGGAGGGAGAUGAUGAUCAUUGGCCCUGCAUCCAAUGCAUGCUUUCAAGGUGAGGUUACCAAGCUGGUAAGGAAAAUAAAAUUAACCCUAGUUCCUUGGGCACAAUAUCAAAAGCCUGAAUGCCUUCUACAGCCACUCUAGGGAAUCCUUCUAGUGGAUCAACUAUAAAUUCACCAUGGGCAAUUGUCAUCAUGUGCGCAGCUUUGUGUUGAAUUGAACUUUAAUAUGCAUCCAAAUGCCCUGUGUUUUCUUUCAGUUGCAGGGAACUGUAGCAUUUGCUUUAGAAUGCCACUCCGAAUCCAAAGUCCUAAUGCCUUUGACUAUUUUGCAGGGCAAGUUCUAACAGGGGUUAUCAAACUUGUCCCCUCUCAGGGUCUAUUAUAGUCUUUUAAACCCCAUUCAUUCCUCCCCUCCCUCAUUAAACAUGUAUAACUGCCCUGAGCACUGGGGAUAGGGCAGGAUGUAAUAUCUAUUAAAUAAAUUUGCUUGCAAUAAUUCA